This 87-nucleotide transfer RNA is filed under the name Variovorax boronicumulans. RNAcentral describes it as "tRNA-Lys". It matches the Rfam family "tRNA". From Rfam's summary of the family: Transfer RNA (tRNA) molecules are approximately 80 nucleotides in length. Their secondary structure includes four short double-helical elements and three loops (D, anti-codon, and T loops). Lineage: Bacteria; Pseudomonadati; Pseudomonadota; Betaproteobacteria; Burkholderiales; Comamonadaceae. The record is from RNAcentral.
UUGGUUCAUCACCUUGAACACUAGACCUGAUUUCUCUACGGACUUUUAAUCCGUUGGUCACUGGUUCGAAUCCAGUACGUCCUACCA